RNAcentral lists this non-coding RNA (163 nucleotides) under Tyto alba (common barn owl). Its description in RNAcentral is "Eukaryotic large subunit ribosomal RNA". It matches the Rfam family "Eukaryotic large subunit ribosomal RNA", at positions 189 to 358 of the family's 3401-position model. The record is from Rfam by way of RNAcentral. Lineage: Eukaryota; Metazoa; Chordata; Aves; Strigiformes; Tytonidae.
AGUUGAACGUGCCAUUAGCAAAUCUGCUGAUGAUACUGUCAUGGCUUGAGCCUGGUCAAACCCUCGGAGUCGGGUUGCUUGGGAAUGCAGCCCAAAGCGGGUGGUAAACUCCAUCUAAGGCUAAAUACUGGCACGAGACCGAUAGCCAACAAGUACCGUAAGG